UUAAGUUCAGCGGGUAGUCCUACCUGAUUCGAGACCAAAAGAUGAAAACAAUCAUCCUUGUGGACAGUUAGAAGCUGUUUGAUCCCUGGUCCAGUGCCUCGCAGCAUCGACGUAGAUGUGAUUAUCAUGCCGAAAACUGAAGUCGGGAGAGUCAGCUAAUGCAUUUGGGACGAGCCGAACCCGGGGGGCCCAGCAACGUC
RNAcentral lists this unclassified non-coding RNA (200 nucleotides) under Tremellodendropsidales sp. RNAcentral's name for it is "partial internal transcribed spacer 2". Lineage: Eukaryota; Fungi; Basidiomycota; Agaricomycetes; Tremellodendropsidales. The record is from RNAcentral.